UCUGGUUGGUGUCUCCGAGUCUAUUUGUCAACUAUGACGAGCCAAUCUUUAUAUGUCCAUGGUCCUCCAUCAUAGACGGUGUGAAAUUGAUGCUUAUCUUUGAAGAAGAAUUGGACAGAUCCAUCUUCGUUGAUUCUUCCAUUGAUUCUCCCUUCAAGACCCCAAAUUUUGGGCAUCAUGAACUUAAUUCCAGCAGGAUUUUGUGAAGGAUGGAUACCUUUAACCACAAGACUGAGGUUAUGUUCUUCAUCUCUUUUCCUUCUGGCUUCAUUAGAUAGAUGUAGUGAGUUUUGUUCUGCUCCUAAAUUGAGGUUUUGGAGUUUGAUCCAUAUGUUUGU
RNAcentral lists this long non-coding RNA (338 nucleotides) under Capsella grandiflora. Its description in RNAcentral is "long non-coding RNA (CGRA_LNC001174)". The record is from RNAcentral. Lineage: Eukaryota; Viridiplantae; Streptophyta; Magnoliopsida; Brassicales; Brassicaceae.